UUGAGACGUAAAAUUUGAUUAUAAAUAAUUUACUUGAGUAUUACGAGUUGUGAAAUAUUGUUUUAUACAGAAAUCUUAAAACUCAAAAGACUUGGCGGUAUCUUAGGUCCUUCUAGGGGAACCUGUCCUAUAAUCGAUAGUCCACGAUUUAUCUUUCCUUUCCUUGAAAAUAGUCAGCUUGUAUACCGUCGUCGUCAGAUUACCUUUAAGAGUGAAAUAAGUUAUCAGAGAGAAGGCUACUGUUUAGCGUUUGUCUUGAUUUUAAUAAAUUAAGGUUAAUGUAAAAGUAAUUUUCUAGAUGUCAGAUCAAGGUGCAGCCCAUGGGAAGGUAGAGAUGGGUUACAAUAAUCAUUUAUUAUUUACGGAUUUCUUAUUGAAAUUAUAAGAACUAAAGGCGGACUUAGAAGUAAUUAAUAAGAGAAAUAGAAAGUCUCGGCGAAAAUGGCACUAAGAUGUG
Molecule: ribosomal RNA, 457 nt
Filed under: Tegula brunnea (brown turban snail)
Lineage: Eukaryota; Metazoa; Mollusca; Gastropoda; Trochida; Tegulidae
Description: Chlorostoma brunnea (brown turban snail) partial 12S ribosomal RNA
Source: RNAcentral